Acanthopagrus latus (yellowfin seabream) is the source of this 1718-nucleotide long non-coding RNA. RefSeq lists it as uncharacterized. Lineage: Eukaryota; Metazoa; Chordata; Actinopteri; Spariformes; Sparidae. The record is from RefSeq and is a predicted model, not a curated record. The transcript is spliced from 6 exons.
CGGUCAUUGUUUUCUGUUUUCUGUAUGCUACGGCUCCAUGCUCCUGUUCCAUGCACCUGUUCCAUGCUCCUGUCCCGUUUGCCUGGGUUGCAGAGCCGGCGUCCUGAGACGAGCCACUCAAAUGCUGGGAACAGAGCAUGGGAGGGUCCUGAAGAAUCCUGUGUUGUCCUCAGGGUUUGCUGCUUGCACAUGGUGGAAAGUGCUCUAACCGGCAGUCCAGUGAUUUUAGAGCAGACUUGGACUGUGCUCUGCAGGAACUGAGCGGAGUCACUGCAUCAGAGAACCUGCUGGUGAAAAUAACUGCUGGUCUUUGGUGGAUCUCCUGGACCUGGAACAUGAUGAGAGGCCAACAAACGUCCAGAGGAGGAACUGGGUAAAGACCCUGACCAGAGCAAUUAUUGGUCCACUGGAAGCCUGACCUGGUGCCUGUUUCAGAAAGCAGGUUCAGUGAAAACCCUGAGUUAGUCAACCCUGAGAUGAGGAAAACUCUGGUUUUUCAGUUUCAUAAAGCCAGUUCAUCAUAACUCUGAUUGAAGCCUGCAGACUGAAGGCAGUUGCAGACAUGGCGUGUCCGUUUCUCGAGGAGCAAGUUGAUGUCAAAGCACAAAUACUCUGCAGAAAUCUCUGUUGGGAGAGGAUUAUCAGACUCGGAUUGGAUGUUUUAUCAUUCCCUGAUGAGUACCUGUUUGUGGUUUCCAUUUCUAUGCACCAUCAAUAAUUUAUCUAAACAAUAUUCUCAGCCCUCACAUCACUUACAGGUGGAAAUGCUCUCGGUUCCAAGCAAAUUCUUUAUUUUGCACUUAGUUUUUUUGCCAACGGCAGUUUUUUGUACAACACUGGUGAUGCAGAGCAUGUGUCCAAGGCAGCUGUCGGUCGGGCUGUCAGAAAUGUGACAGUAGCACUGAAAUGACUACUAUACACGUUUGUAGUGUUCCCAUGUCACAGACCCACCAGACAUCUCAAGGAAGCGUUCCAUAGAAUUGCAUGUAUCAGUGUAAGCAAUAAUUAAUGUAAUGUCAUAAAGAUUGAGACUCGAGGCACUAAUCAGUCAAUUUAAUAUAUUUUAGGGUUUCCAGGUGUGAUUGUCUGCAUUGAUGGCACACGUUCCCGUCAUAGCCCCUUCAGUAAAUGAAGGAGAUUAUGUAAAUAGGAGAUCUGUCCACAGCAUUAAUGUACAGAUCAUGUGUGAUGCAGACUACAUGAUCAACAAUGUGGAAGCAAAGUGGCCUGGGACUACACUGAGUGAUACAUUUGCCUGUGGGGAGUUUAUAUAGAGAGAGUUCGAUGGUUACCUACUCGGAGACAGAGGUGAUCCUGCCUGCCCCAUCUGCUGACCCCUUACCCUGACCCUGAGCCCGGCCCACAGCAACGCUACAACAUAGCUCUCUGCAGGACAGGAGCCAGGGUGGAGAUGACCAUUGGGAUGCUCAAUGCCCAAAUUUACACUUUCAUAGUGGCAUGUGUAUUCCUACACAACAUUGCCACAAUCAGUGGGGAACGAUGUACGAGAUGGAAGAGAUGCUAGAGACAUGAUAUGCUUCAAUCAUUUCUAACUGACCCAUGACCUCCCCAGUGUCAAAGAGAGACAAUAUGCCUUUUAUUUUAUAAGGUCUUCUUUAUUUCCUGGAAGUACAAAUGUUGUACAAUUAAUCUUUGUUAUUGAAACAAUUAAAAAUCAUCCACCUGUGGGCACAUCACCCACCUUUAACUGAUGAUCC